UACGUAGGCAGCAAGCGUUGUUCGGAAUUACUGGGCGUAAAGCGUGCGUAGGCGGUGCCUCAAGUUUGGUGUGAAAUCUCCCGGCUUAACUGGGAGGGUGCGCCGAAAACUGAGGUGCUCGUGUGUGGGAGAGGUAGGCGGAAUUCCUGGUGUAGCGGUGAAAUGCGUAGAUAUCAGGAGGAACACCGGCGGUGUAGACGGCUUACUGGACCACUACUGACGCUGAGGCACGAAAGUGUGGGUAGCAAACAGG
RNAcentral lists this ribosomal RNA (253 nucleotides) under uncultured bacterium. RNAcentral describes it as "partial 16S ribosomal RNA". It matches the Rfam family "Bacterial small subunit ribosomal RNA", at positions 524 to 776 of the family's 1533-position model. The record is from RNAcentral.